CCAAAUACAUGCAAGUCGAACGCGCAGCGAGAGGUGCUUGCACCUUUCAAGCGAGUGGCGAACGGGUGAGUAACACGUGGAUAACCUGCCUCAAGGCUGGGGAUAACAUUUGGAAACAGAUGCUAAUACCGAAUAAAACUUAGUAUCGCAUGAUAUCAAGUUAAAAGGCGCUACGGCGUCACCUAGAGAUGGAUCCGCGGUGCAUUAGUUAGUUGGUGGGGUAAAGGCUUACCAAGACGAUGAUGCAUAGCCGAGUUGAGAGACUGAUCGGCCACAUUGGGACUGAGACACGGCCCAAACUCCUACGGGAGGCUGCAGUAGGGAAUCUUCCACAAUGGGCGCAAGCCUGAUGGAGCAACGCCGCGUGUGUGAUGAAGGCUUUCGGGUCGUAAAGCACUGUUGUAUGGGAAGAAAUGCUAAAAUAGGGAAUGAUUUUAGUUUGACGGUACCAUACCAGAAAGGGACGGCUAAAUACGUGCCAGCAGCCGCGGUAAUACGUAUGUCCCGAGCGUUAUCCGGAUUUAUUGGGCGUAAAGCGAGCGCAGACGGUUGAUUAAGUCUGAUGUGAAAGCCCGGAGCUCAACUCCGGAAUGGCAUUGGAAACUGGUUAACUUGAGUGUUGUAGAGGUAAGUGGAACUCCAUGUGUAGCGGUGGAAUGCGUAGAUAUAUGGAAGAACACCAGUGGCGAAGGCGGCUUACUGGACAACAACUGACGUUGAGGCUCGAAAGUGUGGGUAGCAAACAGGAUUAGAUACCCUGGUAGUCCACACCGUAAACGAUGAAUACUAGGUGUUAGGAGGUUUCCGCCUCUUAGUGCCGAAGCUAACGCAUUAAGUAUUCCGCCUGGGGAGUACGACCGCAAGGUUGAAACUCAAAGGAAUUGACGGGGACCCGCACAAGCGGUGGAGCAUGUGGUUUAAUUCGAAGCAACGCGAAGAACCUUACCAGGUCUUGACAUCCUUUGAAGCUUUUAGAGAUAGAAGUGUUCUCUUCGGAGACAAAGUGACAGGUGGUGCAUGGUC
This 1023-nucleotide ribosomal RNA is filed under the name Leuconostoc citreum. RNAcentral's name for it is "bacterial SSU rRNA". It matches the Rfam family "Bacterial small subunit ribosomal RNA", at positions 47 to 1050 of the family's 1533-position model. Lineage: Bacteria; Bacillati; Bacillota; Bacilli; Lactobacillales; Lactobacillaceae. The record is from RNAcentral.